CCGAAACCCGGUGAUCUAGCCAUGGGCAGGUUGAAGGUUGGGUAACACUAACUGGAGGACCGAACCGACUAAUGUUGAAAAAUUAGCGGAUGACUUGUGGCUGGGGGUGAAAGGCCAAUCAAACCGGGAGAUAGCUGGUUCUCCCCGAAAGCUAUUUAGGUAGCGCCUCGUGAAUUCAUCUCCGGGGGUAGAGCACUGUUUCGGCAAGGGGGUCAUCCCGACUUACCAACCCGAUGCAAACUGCGAAUACCGGAGAAUGUUAUCACGGGAGACACACGGCGGGUGCUAACGUCCGUCGUGAAGAGGGAAACAACCCAGACCGCCAGCUAAGGUCCCAAAGUCAUGGUUAAGUGGGAAACGAUGUGGGAAGGCCCAGACAGCCAGGAUGUUGGCUUAGAAGCAGCCAUCAUUUAAAGAAAGCGUAAUAGCUCACUGGUCGAGUCGGCCUGCGCGGAAGAUGUAACGGGGCUAAACCAUG
Molecule: ribosomal RNA, 478 nt
Filed under: Escherichia coli
Lineage: Bacteria; Pseudomonadati; Pseudomonadota; Gammaproteobacteria; Enterobacterales; Enterobacteriaceae
Description: partial 23S ribosomal RNA
Rfam family: Bacterial large subunit ribosomal RNA
Source: RNAcentral